RNAcentral lists this ribosomal RNA (541 nucleotides) under uncultured bacterium. RNAcentral's name for it is "bacterial SSU rRNA". It matches the Rfam family "Bacterial small subunit ribosomal RNA", at positions 949 to 1487 of the family's 1533-position model. The record is from RNAcentral.
AUUCGACGCAACGCGAAGAACCUUACCAGGUCUUGACAUUGAUCGCCAUUUUCAGAAAUGAAAAGUUCUCCUUCGGGAGACGAGAAAACAGGUGGUGCACGGCUGUCGUCAGCUCGUGUCGUGAGAUGUUGGGUUAAGUCCCGCAACGAGCGCAACCCCUAUCAUUUGUUGCCAGCACGUAAAGGUGGGAACUCAAAUGAGACCGCCGCAGACAAUGCGGAGGAAGGUGGGGAUGACGUCAAGUCAUCAUGCCCCUUAUGACCUGGGCUACACACGUACUACAAUGGGUGUCAACAAAGAGAAGCGAAAGGGCGACCCGGAGCCAACCUCAAAAACACACCCCCAGUUCAGAUCGCAGGCUGCAACCCGCCUGCGUGAAGCAGGAAUCGCUAGUAAUCGCGGGUCGGCAUACCGCGGUGAAUACGUUCCCGGGCCUUGUACACACCGCCCGUCACACUAUGAGAGUCAGAAACACCCGAAGCCGGUGAGGUAACCGCAAGGAGCCAGCCGUCGAAGGCGGAGUGAUGAUUGGAGUGAAGUC